Molecule: ribosomal RNA, 465 nt
Filed under: uncultured bacterium
Lineage: Bacteria
Description: partial 16S ribosomal RNA
Rfam family: Bacterial small subunit ribosomal RNA
Source: RNAcentral
GACGAACGCUGGCGGCGUGCUUAACACAUGCAAGUCGAACGGAAAGGCCCCUUCGGGGGUACUCGAGUGGCGCACGGGUGAGUAACACGUGAGUAACCUGCCCUUGACUUCGGGAUAACUUCAGGAAACUGGGGCUAAUACCGGAUAGGAAUCCUUGCUGCAUGGUGGGGGUUGGAAAGCUUCGGCGGUUUUGGCUUGACUCGCGGCUUAUCAGCUUGUUGGUGGGGUAGUGGCUUACCAAGGCUUUGACGGGUAGCCGGCCUGAGAGGGCGACCGGCCACAUUGGGACUGAGAUACGGCCCAGACUCCUACGGGAGGCAGCAGUGGGGAAUAUUGCACAAUGGGCGGAAGCCUGAUGCAGCAACGCCGCGUGCGGGAUGACGGCCUUCGGGUUGUAAACCGCUUUCAGCAGGGGCGAAGCUUGUGGUGACGGUACCUGCAGAAGAAGCACCGGCUAACUACGUG